This 72-nucleotide transfer RNA is filed under the name Rattus norvegicus (Norway rat). It matches the Rfam family "tRNA". Rfam says of the family: Transfer RNA (tRNA) molecules are approximately 80 nucleotides in length. Lineage: Eukaryota; Metazoa; Chordata; Mammalia; Rodentia; Muridae. The record is from Rfam by way of RNAcentral.
GGUGAUACAGUUCAUUGGUAGAAAGUUUGUCUCACAGACAGGUCACUCUGGGUUCAAUCCUCGGUAUCACAA